UAAACCAUGAUUUUGUAAUUUGUACUAUAACACUCAUUGCUAAUAUAUUAGUUUUUGUUCAGGUUGAAUUUAUCAGGCGGAUGGUUUCACAAUGACAACAUCGUAGUAGUUACCAAUGAAGUUUAUUAAUGAAGCAUCAAUUCUGGAUCUAGCACGGGUGGCAUCAUAUUUUAUCAAGCCAGCAUCCUCAGUUAUCGAUGAAAUUACUUGAUGCACAUUAGUCCAUCCAAUUGAGUCACUUCCACAUGUCCGUG
This is a long non-coding RNA of Dendroctonus ponderosae (mountain pine beetle), 254 nucleotides long. RefSeq lists it as uncharacterized. The record is from RefSeq and is a predicted model, not a curated record. NCBI's taxonomy places the organism in Eukaryota, Metazoa, Arthropoda, Insecta, Coleoptera, Curculionidae. The transcript has 2 exons.